This 253-nucleotide ribosomal RNA is filed under the name uncultured bacterium. RNAcentral's name for it is "partial 16S ribosomal RNA". It matches the Rfam family "Bacterial small subunit ribosomal RNA", at positions 524 to 776 of the family's 1533-position model. The record is from RNAcentral.
UACGAAGGGGGCUAGCGUUGCUCGGAAUUACUGGGCGUAAAGCGCACGUAGGCGGAUUGUUAAGUCUGGGGUGAAAUCCUGGAGCUCAACUCCAGAACUGCCUUCGAUACUGGCGAUCUCGAGUUCGGGAGAGGUGAGUGGAACUGCGAGUGUAGAGGUGAAAUUCGUAGAUAUUCGCAAGAACACCAGUGGCGAAGGCGGCUCACUGGCCCGAUACUGACGCUGAGGUGCGAAAGCGUGGGGAGCAAACAGG